This is a non-coding RNA of Acanthosepion pharaonis, 112 nucleotides long. The record is from the annotation of a GenBank genome assembly. NCBI's taxonomy places the organism in Eukaryota, Metazoa, Mollusca, Cephalopoda, Sepiida, Sepiidae.
UUAUGGCCACACCACAUUGAAACACCACUUCCCUGUACAAUCACUGAAGUUAAGCAAUGUUGAGCCUGGUUAGUAUCUAGAUGGUGACUGCUUGGGAAUACCAGGUGCUAUA